Urocitellus parryii (Arctic ground squirrel) is the source of this 104-nucleotide small nuclear RNA. NCBI's taxonomy places the organism in Eukaryota, Metazoa, Chordata, Mammalia, Rodentia, Sciuridae. The record is from Ensembl.
GUGCUCGCUUUGGCAGCACAUAAACUAAAAUUGGAAUGAUACGGAGAUUAGCAUGGACCCUGCACAAGAAUGACACGCAAAUUCAUGGAGCAUUCCAUACAUUU